CGGAAGCUAAUUAAUUGGGUUUGGAGUUGGUGUUGUUACUCUAGUUAUGGCUAGAGAUGAUCCAAGUGGUAUUAAUUUUUGGCUUAAGGUGAUUGUGUUGGCGGCCGACAACACGAUGCCGAAAGUCGAGAACUAAGACACUUGCAAGCUACCGCCUGAUUGAUAUUGUUUAAUCGUUAUGUUUCACAAUUACAACGAUGUUGUUGGGUUAAGUAAUUAACCAACUGUUUGCGUUUCAGGAGCUAUGGCACCAAAAAGACGCUACGUGCGUAGAACUGCUCUGGCACCACCUCGAGAGGUGCCCGGGCCAGCCGUGCCUCCAGUGGCGCCAGGGCCAGCUAGGCCUACUGAGGUGCAGGAGCUGCGAGCGCAGGUUGCGGCGCUCACAUGACGGUUCGAUAGGCUCCAGGAGCUAUUGGAGCAGCAGGCUGCGGCGGCAGGUCUAGGCCACGGUCUGCCUGCG
This 463-nucleotide long non-coding RNA is filed under the name Ananas comosus (pineapple). RNAcentral describes it as "long non-coding RNA (ACOM_LNC042967)". The record is from RNAcentral. Lineage: Eukaryota; Viridiplantae; Streptophyta; Magnoliopsida; Poales; Bromeliaceae.